GAUGAACGCUGGCGGCGUGCUUAACACAUGCAAGUCGAACGGAAAGGCUCCUGCUUGCCGGGGUACUCGAGUGGCGAACGGGGGCGUAACACGUGGGUAAUCUGCCCUGCACUUCGGGAUAAGCCUGGGAAACUGGGUCUAAUACCGGAUAGGACCACAUUUUGGGUGGUGUGGUGGAAAGUUUUUCGGUGUGGGAGGAUCUCGCGGCCUAUCACCUGUUUGGUGGGGAACUGGCGUACCAAGGCGUAGACGGGGAGCCGGCCUGAGCGAGUGUAGGGACGGAUUGGGCGUGUGCGGGGGGCAAGAGUCGGGCAGGAGGGAGAAGGGGGGAAGAUGGGACAAUGGGAGCAAGCGUGAGGGAGGGAGGCCGCGGGGGGGAUGACGGCCUUUGUGUUGUAAACACAGUUGGCUAGGGACAAAGCGUUUUUGUGACGGUACCUGGAGAAGAAGCACCGGCUAACUACGUG
This 467-nucleotide ribosomal RNA is filed under the name uncultured bacterium. RNAcentral describes it as "partial 16S ribosomal RNA". It matches the Rfam family "Bacterial small subunit ribosomal RNA", at positions 28 to 507 of the family's 1533-position model. The record is from RNAcentral.